CCCAAAAAGUAGUGUGCACUUUUCUCUUAGUAAGACGCUGUGAUCCAUUAGAAAUUGAUACAUACAAAAUGUAUAUUGGGUCAUCAAUAGGCCAAUAUGAAGUUUAUCUGGUACAAAUGAUAUAAUCAUUAUACGAUUAUGUGUAUUGUCUAGUAAGCAUAUUGUGUUUAUCCUGUAAUGACUGUCUGAUGGAUUUUAAAGAUGAUAUUAUUAAUGUUUUUUAAUGGACAUUACUUAUUACGAUAAGUGUUAAAUAUCUAUCUGAUCAACGGCGGUUAAAUUUGGGAUACCUUUUGGACCCGUCUUGAAACACGGACCAAGGAGUCUAUCUAGUAUGCGAGUAAAUGGAUAUAAUUUAUGAAAUCUAUUUGCAUAAUAAACUUGACUAUUUUUUUAAUGGGAUUACGAGAAUAAAUAUACAUUAAAUUGUAAUUUAUCUCUUCCAUCCCGGGGUAUUUUUAUCAACAUAUACGCAAGUAUAUGAAAAAUAUACCAUGAGCACACUGGAUACGACCCGAAAGAUGGUGAACUAUGCCUGAUCAGAUCGAAGUCAGGGGAAACCCUGAUGGAGGAUCGAAGCAGUUCUGACGUGCAAAUCGAUGUCAGAAUGGGCAUA
Molecule: ribosomal RNA, 616 nt
Filed under: Imparipecten sychnacanthus
Lineage: Eukaryota; Metazoa; Arthropoda; Insecta; Diptera; Chironomidae
Description: partial large subunit ribosomal RNA
Rfam family: Eukaryotic large subunit ribosomal RNA
Source: RNAcentral